This 381-nucleotide ribosomal RNA is filed under the name uncultured bacterium. RNAcentral describes it as "bacterial SSU rRNA". It matches the Rfam family "Bacterial small subunit ribosomal RNA", at positions 43 to 424 of the family's 1533-position model. The record is from RNAcentral.
UAGGCCUAACACAUGCAAGUCGAACGGCAGCGCGGGUGCUUGCACCUGGCGGCGAAAGGCGAACGGGUGAGUAAUACAUCGGAACGUGCCCUAGAGUGGGGGAUAACUAGUCGAAAGAUUAGCUAAUACCGCAUACGAUCUACGGAUGAAAGUGGGGGACCGCAAGGCCUCAUGCUCCUGGAGCGGCCGAUGUCUGAUUAGCUAGUUGGUGGGGUAAAAGCCUACCAAGGCGACGAUCAGUAGCUGGUCUGAGAGGACGACCAGCCACACUGGGACUGAGACACGGCCCAGACUCCUACGGGAGGCAGCAGUGGGGAAUUUUGGACAAUGGGGGCAACCCUGAUCCAGCAAAGCCGCGUGUGUGAAGAAGGCCUUCGGGUU